GUUUGAUAAUUGCGAAUAGCUGAGUGCGCGGGUGUUCUGUUCUCGUUUGGAAAGCAGCGUUUUGUCGUCAUACGUAUUGAUUAUACUUCAAACACAGUGUGGAUGAAAGAGUAUGUCAAAGGUGGUGGUGGAAAGCCUAAGGAGUCUGGUGUUCACAGAUUUGCUCGAUGAUGUUGAGACUUUCGCCUCAGCUGGUCCGGAGUACGCGGCCGUGUACCAGGUGCUGUGCUCGGCCGCCUCCCAGCUGCAGCA
Molecule: long non-coding RNA, 252 nt
Organism: Pollicipes pollicipes
Lineage: Eukaryota; Metazoa; Arthropoda; Thecostraca; Pollicipedomorpha; Pollicipedidae
Exons: 3
Source: RefSeq, a predicted model, not a curated record